Molecule: ribosomal RNA, 387 nt
Filed under: uncultured bacterium
Lineage: Bacteria
Description: bacterial SSU rRNA
Rfam family: Bacterial small subunit ribosomal RNA
Source: RNAcentral
AAUGAACGCUGGCGGCGCGCCUAAUACAUGCAAGUCGAGCGAGAAGACGUAGCAAUACGUUUGUAAAGCGGCGAACGGGUGAGGAAUACAUGGGUAACCUACCCUAGAGUGGGGAAUAACUAGCCGAAAGGUUAGCUAAUACCGCGUACGCUCCUUGGACUUCGGUUCAGGGAGGAAAGCGAUGCCGAGGGUAUCGCGCUCUUGGAUGGGCUCACGUCCUAUCAGCUUGUUGGGAGGUAACGGCUCACCAAGGCUUCGACGGGUAGCUGGUCUGAGAGGACGAUCAGCCACACUGGCACUGCGACACGGGCCAGACUCCUACGGGAGGCAGCAGUAAGGAAUAUUGCGCAAUGGGCGAAAGCCUGACGCAGCGACGCCGCGUGGGGG